CGUAGGGUGCGAGCGUUAAUCGGAAUUACUGGGCGUAAAGCGUGCGCAGGCGGUUUUGUAAGACAGAUGUGAAAUCCCCGGGCUCAACCUGGGACCUGCAUUUGUGACUGCAAGGCUAGAGUACGGUAGAGGGGGAUGGAAUUCCGCGUGUAGCAGUGAAAUGCGUAGAUAUGCGGAGGAACACCGAUGGCGAAGGCAAUCCCCUGGACCUGUACUGACGCUCAUGCACGAAAGCGUGGGGAGCAAACAGGAUUAGAUACCCUGGUAGUCCACGCCCUAAACGGUGUCAACUGGUUGUUGGGUCUUUACUGACUCAGUAACGAAGCUAACGCGUGAAGUUGACCGCCUGGGAGUACGGCCGCAAGGUUG
RNAcentral lists this ribosomal RNA (369 nucleotides) under uncultured organism. RNAcentral describes it as "bacterial SSU rRNA". It matches the Rfam family "Bacterial small subunit ribosomal RNA", at positions 526 to 896 of the family's 1533-position model. The record is from RNAcentral.